RNAcentral lists this non-coding RNA (225 nucleotides) under Sporosarcina psychrophila. RNAcentral describes it as "T-box sequence". It matches the Rfam family "T-box leader". Rfam says of the family: Uncharged tRNA acts as the effector for transcription antitermination of genes in the T-box leader family. T-boxes are found upstream of many aminoacyl-tRNA synthetase genes and some amino acid biosynthetic genes usually in Gram-positive bacteria. Lineage: Bacteria; Bacillati; Bacillota; Bacilli; Caryophanales; Caryophanaceae. The record is from RNAcentral.
AUAAAAGCGAUGACAAAGACAUGAAUUAUUUUGAUGGUUUCCAGAGAGGGAAGUAUUGCUGAGAACUUCCUAACGCAGAAGAUAAUUUACCACUUUUGAGCUGUAUUAGUGAAAUGAAGUAACUAAUUCCGUUAAUGCUACGUUACAGCGCCAUGAGUUAACACCAUUGUUGGAUGGUGUUAGAAAUUUGGGUGGAAUCACGGGUAAAUCAUACUCGUCCCUUUA